Molecule: ribosomal RNA, 546 nt
Filed under: uncultured bacterium
Lineage: Bacteria
Description: bacterial SSU rRNA
Rfam family: Bacterial small subunit ribosomal RNA
Source: RNAcentral
UAGGGAAUUUUUCACAAUGAGCGAAAGCUUGAUGGAGCAAUGCCGCGUGAACGAUGAAGGUCUUUAAGAUUGUAAAGUUCUUUUAUUUGGGAAGAAUGACUUUAGCAGGUAAUGGCUAGAGUUUGACUGUACCAUUUUGAAUAAGUGACGACUAACUAUGUGCCAGCAGUCGCGGUAAUACAUAGGUCGCAAGCGUUAUCCGGAUUUAUUGGGCGUAAAGCAAGCGCAGGCGGAUUGAAAAGUCUGGUGUUAAAGGCAGCUGCUUAACAGUUGUAUGCAUUGGAAACUAUUAAUCUAGAGUGUGGUAGGGAGUUUUGGAAUUUCAUGUGGAGCGGUGAAAUGCGUAGAUAUAUGAAGGAACACCAGUGGCGAAGGCGAAAACUUAGGCCAUUACUGACGCUUAGGCUUGAAAGUGUGGGGAGCAAAUAGGAUUAGAUACCCUAGUAGUCCACACCGUAACGAUAGAUACUAGCUGUCGGGGCGAUCCCCUCGGUAGUGAAGUUAACACAUUAAGUAUCUCGCCUGGGUAGUACAUUCGCAAGAAUG